This 73-nucleotide transfer RNA is filed under the name Paramuricea clavata. It matches the Rfam family "tRNA". Rfam says of the family: Transfer RNA (tRNA) molecules are approximately 80 nucleotides in length. Their secondary structure includes four short double-helical elements and three loops (D, anti-codon, and T loops). The record is from Rfam by way of RNAcentral. Lineage: Eukaryota; Metazoa; Cnidaria; Anthozoa; Malacalcyonacea; Plexauridae.
GACCGCGCAGCUCAGUUGGAAGAGCAUUGGGCUAGUAUUCCAAAGGUCGUAGGUUCGAAUCCCACCGUGGUCG